UUUCUUUUAUUCUUCCCUCUAUACGUUGGUGUUCUAACCAAUAAUCACCAAAGCGAUGUUCUGUCCAAUCGAUUCAGGAACCAACUAACGAAUGCCAAAGUGUUGUACUUUGUGAAUUUCGGUAAACGGAAUCCAAAGUGCUAUAAUUUGUGAGUUCAAUAAAUGGAUGCCAAAGUACUGUCUGAAUAAGACUAUACUUUGUGAAAUUCGUUAAGGUUCGAAUCUCGUGAUUAUCGUUAGGUUUGAUAUGGUUUUACACAAAUACGUAUUCCAUUCUGUUAAACUAUAUGUUUAACUACCAGAAUAGUCCCAACUACACACUUACAAUCAAACAAGCUGUUAAAUCAUCAGAAGGAGUAGAAUCAAGAAGCUUGUUAAAUCAAUACUGCAUGCUUAUACUGGAUUAAGUCGUGGUUAUCUUGAAUCACUGUCUACUGGGGUAUUUUGCACAUUACUAAUUUUCUCACGGGUUAGGCAAAUAAGCCCUAAGACAUGUUAGGCUAAUAAGCCCUAACAGUGAUAAUUCUCACUACUUGGGUGAAAGGAUCCAAUAGUGGCAUGACCAUCGUCACCAGGAGGUGACACGGCGUUAGAUAAAAAUAAGAUACUGCCAUUGUAAUCGCUCUUAUGCUGUAAUUUAUAACUAAGGGUCAUUUUAUAAAAUCUGAAUGAACUCACUCAGUAUUUCCUGCUGACAAAACCUUUUUAAAACGCGUUUCAGGUAAUUACAAUAGAUCGGAAUAAGAGUUGGAUACGGCACCAACAAGACUUACAGAAGUGGCUCAUUUUAUCAAUUAAAUUAAAUUAAGAAUUAUCAUUUUAUGUAUCCGGGUUUAUCCCAUAUUAAAAGCUACCUUUGUAAAACAUGGGUUUAUCCCCGUCUAUUUUAAAUAAAUAAAAAUCCGGUGUUUUCUAAACUCUGAUGUUUUUCCUAACUCACGGUCCUGAUGAAAUUUCCGCUGUAAUGUUUUUUUAAAAAUAACCACCGGUACCACUUGGCUGUUCGCGGCUCCCGAUUCCGUCCAGGGUGGGGUCGGGGGCCGUGACACAAACUUAGCGAACAAAAUAAAAUCGGUUGCAAAUGUAGCGACAAAAAAAUCUAUAGUAAAUGUAGCAGCGGAGUUUUUUUCGGUCGCACAACAAUCGCAAAUGUACCAAUCAACUUUUUUCCCUUGUAAAUGUAGCACCCAAAUUAAUUCGAUUGUAAAAUUGUCGCAAAUUUAG
Molecule: long non-coding RNA, 1224 nt
Filed under: Helianthus annuus (common sunflower)
Lineage: Eukaryota; Viridiplantae; Streptophyta; Magnoliopsida; Asterales; Asteraceae
Description: hypothetical non coding rna
Source: RNAcentral